AUACGGAGGGAGCAAGCGUUAUUCGGAAUCACUGGGCGUAAAGGACGCGUAGGCGGGUUUGUAAGUCAGGUGUGAAAUCCUACAGCUCAACUGUAGAACUGCACUUGAAACUACAGACCUAGAGUAUGGAAGGGGCAGAUGGAAUUAGUGGUGUAGGGGUAAACUCCGUAGAUAUCACUAGGAAUACCGAAAGCGAAGGCGAUCUGCUGGGACAUUACUGACGCUGAGGCGUGAAAGCGUGGGGAGCAAACAGGAUUAGAAACCCCAGUAGUCC
Molecule: ribosomal RNA, 274 nt
Filed under: uncultured bacterium
Lineage: Bacteria
Description: partial 16S ribosomal RNA
Rfam family: Bacterial small subunit ribosomal RNA
Source: RNAcentral